Molecule: long non-coding RNA, 613 nt
Filed under: Mus pahari (shrew mouse)
Lineage: Eukaryota; Metazoa; Chordata; Mammalia; Rodentia; Muridae
Description: lncRNA (MGP_PahariEiJ_G0005419.1)
Source: RNAcentral
GUAUGAUCUCAAGAACUCCCCCAUUCUCCCUGGAUGUUGUAGCUGGAGACUAAGGGCAGCUUUGCAUCCAUGAGACAACUCUAGGAUCUGACCCCAGGACCACCUGCACACCUAAGAAUGGAUUAAAUUACAACUCAGACACAUCCUCACGAGUGGCUGCUCUCGGAAGAUGCGUGUGCAUAGACCAACCCUGUCCCUCCUUUUCACCCUUCAUGGUUUCACACCAGCCCUGCAGCUGCAGAAUCUCCAUUGGUCUGGAGUAUCGGGGGGAAUGCUCUCUGGUGCAGCACGUGCACUUCACCUGAUGCUUAUGGAAGACACACAGCACACAAGCGCACACUAAUAAACAGGAAAACACCUCCUCUGGGAUUGGCCAGAGCUUCGAAGCAGUGCAGGCAGGGCCUUCCUGACAUUGUGGCAUGGCUUCUGCUUGCUGCCUUCUCCCAUAAAGCAGUGGUUCCUCCGUAGAAAGCACUCAGCAGUGGGACUUGGCAAGGCCUGGAACUCUUACCUGGAAAAGCAUUUCUUCAUCUGCAUUUCUGAUGUCACCUACUUCCAUGAAAUGCCUUCCGUAAGAAAAGCCUCAUGUGUCCACAGGCAGGAGCUGAACACU